Molecule: long non-coding RNA, 395 nt
Filed under: Capsicum annuum
Lineage: Eukaryota; Viridiplantae; Streptophyta; Magnoliopsida; Solanales; Solanaceae
Description: long non-coding RNA (CANN_LNC008633)
Source: RNAcentral
GAAAUUUAAAAAAUAUUUUUUCCUGAUUCCCCCUAUUUACUUGGUUGGUGCUAUGCUAAAUCCGUGCAUGAAAUAUAAUCAUAUGUGUCACUUUAGUACUCUUAUUUAUACUAACUUAGAAAUAAAUACUAACCAUGAUUCUGAACAAGUACAACCUGAUUUGUGGACGGCUACGACUGAUGCAAAGGAUUACACAGAAAAAUUAUAUAAUUACUAUGCUGAUUUAUAUGAUUUAGUCGUACCUACAAAUAUCACUCCAACUGUCGCUCCUCAUCCUCCCAAGGAGCCAUCAUCUUCUAAAAGGCCGGCACAUAGUGGUUUUUCUGAUUCGUUUUAUGAUUUAAAUUGUUGGAACAAUGUUGAUGAGAGAACUUACACAUCAACUUAUCGGGAAG